RNAcentral lists this ribosomal RNA (448 nucleotides) under uncultured bacterium. Its description in RNAcentral is "partial 16S ribosomal RNA". It matches the Rfam family "Bacterial small subunit ribosomal RNA", at positions 354 to 796 of the family's 1533-position model. The record is from RNAcentral.
GUGGGGAAUAUUGGACAAUGGGCGAAAGCCUGAUCCAGCCAUGCCGCGUGUGUGAAGAAGGUCUUCGGAUUGUAAAGCACUUUAAGUUGGGAGGAAGGGCAUUAACCUAAUACGUUAGUGUUUUGACGUUACCGACAGAAUAAGCACCGGCUAACUUCGUGCCAGCAGCCGCGGUACUACGAAGGGUGCAAGCGUUAAUCGGAAUUACUGGGCGUAAAGCGCGCGUAGGUGGUUCGUUAAGUUGGAUGUGAAAGCCCCGGGCUCAACCUGGGAACUGCAUCCAAAACUGGCGAGCUAGAGUACGGUAGAGGGUGGUGGAAUUUCCUGUGUAGCGGUGAAAUGCGUAGAUAUAGGAAGGAACACCAGUGGCGAAGGCGACCACCUGGACUGAUACUGACACUGAGGUGCGAAAGCGUGGGGAGCAAACAGGAUUAGAUACUGGUAGUCC